AACGAACGCUGGCGGCAGGCUUAACACAUGCAAGUCGAGCGCCCCGCAAGGGGAGCGGCAGACGGGUGAGUAACGCGUGGGAACGUACCCUUUACUACGGAAUAACGCAGGGAAACUUGUGCUAAUACCGUAUGUGCCCUUUGGGGGAAAGAUUUAUCGGUAAAGGAUCGGCCCGCGUUGGAUUAGCUAGUUGGUGGGGUAAAGGCCUACCAAGGCGACGAUCCAUAGCUGGUCUGAGAGGAUGAUCAGCCACAUUGGGACUGAGACACGGCCCAAACUCCUACGGGAGGCAGCAGCGGGGAAUAUUGGACAAUGGGCGCAAGCCUGAUCCAGCCAUGCCGCGUGAGUGAUGAAGGCCUUAGGGUUGUAAAGCUCUUUCACCGGGGAAGAUAAUGACGGUACCCGGAGAAGAAGCCCGGCUAACUUCGUGCCAGCCGCCGCAGUAA
Molecule: ribosomal RNA, 446 nt
Filed under: uncultured bacterium
Lineage: Bacteria
Description: partial 16S ribosomal RNA
Rfam family: Bacterial small subunit ribosomal RNA
Source: RNAcentral